AUUUAUAAUCUGGCACCUUCGGUGUCCGAGUUGUAAUCUCUAGAAGUGUUUUCCGCGUUGGACCGCACACAAGUCUGUUGGAAUACAGCGGCAUAGUGGUGAAACCCCCGUAUAUGGUGCGGACGCCCAGCGCUUUGUGAUACACUUUCAAUGAGUCGAGUUGUUUGGGAAUGCAGCUCAAAUUGGGUGGUAAAUUCCAUCUAAAGCUAAAUAUUGGCGAGAGACCGAUAGCGAACAAGUACCGUGAGGGAAAGAUGAAAAGCACUUUGGAAAGAGAGUUAACAGUACGUGAAAUUGUUGGAAGGGAAACGCUUGAAGUCAGACUUGCUUGCCGGAGCUUGCUUCGGUUUGCAGGCCAGCAUCAGUUUUCCGGGGUGGAUAAUGACGGUUUGAAGGUAGCAGUCUCGGCUGUGUUAUAGCUUUCCGUUGGAUACGCCCUGGGGGACUGAGGAACGCAGCGUGCUUUUUGCGAAAGACUCGUCUUUUUCACGCUUAGGAUGCUGGUGGAAUGGCUUUAAACGACCCGUCUUGAAACACGGACCAAGGAGUCUAACAUGCUCGCGAGUAUUUGGGUGUCAAACCCGGAUGCGCAAUGAAAGUGAAUGUAGGUGGGAACCGCAAGGUGCACCAUCGACCGAUCUGGAUUUUUUAAGAUGGAUUUGAGUAAGAGCGCGUAUGUUGGGACCCGAAAGAUGGUGAACUAUGCCUGAAUAGGGCGAAGCCAGAGGAAACUCUGGUGGAGGCUCGUAGCGGUUCUGACGUGCAAAUCGAUCGUCAAAUUUGGGUAUAGGGCGAAAG
This 798-nucleotide ribosomal RNA is filed under the name Rhodotorula diobovata. RNAcentral describes it as "partial large subunit ribosomal RNA". It matches the Rfam family "Eukaryotic large subunit ribosomal RNA", at positions 113 to 929 of the family's 3401-position model. The record is from RNAcentral. Lineage: Eukaryota; Fungi; Basidiomycota; Microbotryomycetes; Sporidiobolales; Sporidiobolaceae.